GCAGUGGAAGCAUGGCAUCACCAGAGAAAUGGAAACACAUGGUGCGACUACAUUUCGCACAGCCGUGAAGUCGAAGCUUACCUCAGGUACGCCAAUGUACAACCAUGUGUAUGUAUCUGUAAACAUGUGAGUCAAUCGAACCUUGCAAUGGUUUGCGGGAAGAUGUGUGCGAUAUGUGACCUGAUGCCCAGCGUGUAUAAUGGAACGAGUAUUUGUAAAUGAACGCAAAAUGGAAGUUCAGAGCCCGUCUGGUCGUGUGUUUAUUCGAGAAACCUGUGAGAGAAAUGCUGCCCGCCUAAGGAAGAGAUCCAUCUUAAGACCAUCGCGCAAAGAGCCACUUAGGGCUUUCACCUUAAAAAGAACCAGAAAGCUGACCUUCGUGCAUAGCGUUCGCCGCCAGCGUUUCCCAGUAAACAUUACGGUUACAUAAGCUGCAGUUGCUGGGAAGGGUGAGUGAAAGUCAGGGAUGCUAUCGCGUUCCACUCUUAAAAGGUGAAGCUUAAGCAUCCUCCAAGUUUUUUCUUUACUUUUUGCGCUUAUCGAACGGCU
Long non-coding RNA from Dermacentor silvarum, 549 nucleotides. RefSeq lists it as uncharacterized. The transcript has 4 exons. The record is from RefSeq and is a predicted model, not a curated record. Lineage: Eukaryota; Metazoa; Arthropoda; Arachnida; Ixodida; Ixodidae.